RNAcentral lists this transfer RNA (71 nucleotides) under Planctomycetaceae bacterium. RNAcentral's name for it is "tRNA-Gln". It matches the Rfam family "tRNA". From Rfam's summary of the family: Transfer RNA (tRNA) molecules are approximately 80 nucleotides in length. The record is from RNAcentral. Lineage: Bacteria; Pseudomonadati; Planctomycetota; Planctomycetia; Planctomycetales; Planctomycetaceae.
UACCCGGUGGUGUAAUGGUAGCACAACAGGUUUUGGUCCUGUCAGUCGGGGUUCGAGUCCCUGCCGGGUAA